RNAcentral lists this ribosomal RNA (439 nucleotides) under uncultured bacterium. Its description in RNAcentral is "partial 16S ribosomal RNA". It matches the Rfam family "Bacterial small subunit ribosomal RNA", at positions 339 to 795 of the family's 1533-position model. The record is from RNAcentral.
CUACGGGUCGCAGCAGUGAGGAAUAUUGCACAAUGGGGGGAACCCUGAUGCAGCAACGCCGCGUGGAGGAUGACGCAUUUCGGUGUGUAAACUCCUUUUAUAUGUCAAGAAAAUGACGGUAGCAUAUGAAUAAGCACCGGCUAACUCCGUGCCAGCAGCCGCGGUAAUACGGAGGGUGCAAGCGUUACUCGGAAUCACUGGGCGUAAAGGACGCGUAGGCGGGUUGAAAAGUCAGGUGUGAAAGCCUACAGCUUAACUGUAGAACUGCACUUGAAACUCUCAAUCUAGAGUAUGGGAGGGGCAGAUGGAAUUAGUGGUGUAGGGGUAAAAUCCGUAGAUAUCACUAGGAAUACCUAAAGCGAAGGCAAUCUGCUGGAACAUUACUGACGCUAAGGCGUGAAAGCGUGGGGAGCAAACAGGAUUAGAUACCCGGGUAGUC